Molecule: ribosomal RNA, 556 nt
Filed under: Nigrospora sphaerica
Lineage: Eukaryota; Fungi; Ascomycota; Sordariomycetes; Amphisphaeriales; Apiosporaceae
Description: eukaryotic LSU rRNA
Rfam family: 5.8S ribosomal RNA (bases 187-340)
Source: RNAcentral
UUCCGUAGGGUAACCUGCGGAGGGAUCAUUACAGAGUUAUCCAACUCCCAAACCCAUGUGAACUUAUCUCUUUGUUGCCUCGGCGCAAGCUACCCGGGACCUCGCGCCCCGGGCGGCCCGCCGGCGGACAAACCAAAACUCUUGUUAUCUUAGUUGAUUAUCUGAGUGUCUUAUUUAAUAAGUCAAAACUUUCAACAACGGAUCUCUUGGUUCUGGCAUCGAUGAAGAACGCAGCGAAAUGCGAUAAGUAAUGUGAAUUGCAGAAUUCAGUGAAUCAUCGAAUCUUUGAACGCACAUUGCGCCCAUUAGUAUUCUAGUGGGCAUGCCUGUUCGAGCGUCAUUUCAACCCCUAAGCACAGCUUAUUGUUGGGAACCUACGGCUUCGUAGUUCCUCAAAGACAUUGGCGGAGUGGCAGUGGUCCUCUGAGCGUAGUAAUCUUUUAUCUCGCUUCUGUUAGGUGCUGCCCCCCCGGCCGUAAAACCCCCAAUUUUUUCUGGUUGACCUCGGAUCAGGUAGGAAUACCCGCUGAACUUAAGCAUAUCAAUAAGCGGAGGA